RNAcentral lists this ribosomal RNA (38 nucleotides) under Laccaria bicolor. Its description in RNAcentral is "partial 18S ribosomal RNA". The record is from RNAcentral. Lineage: Eukaryota; Fungi; Basidiomycota; Agaricomycetes; Agaricales; Hydnangiaceae.
GUACAGUUUCCGUAGGUGAACCUGCGGAAGAUCAUUAU